UACGUAGGGUGCAAGCGUUAUCCGGAAUUAUUGGGCGUAAAGAGCUCGUAGGCGGUUUGUCACGUCUGCUGUGAAAACUGGAGGCUCAACCUCCAGCCUGCAGUGGGUACGGGCAGACUAGAGUGCGGUAGGGGAGAUUGGAAUUCCUGGUGUAGCGGUGGAAUGCGCAGAUAUCAGGAGGAACACCGGUGGCGAAGGCGGGUCUCUGGGCCGUAACUGACGCUGAGGAGCGAAAGCAUGGGGAGCGAACAGG
This 253-nucleotide ribosomal RNA is filed under the name uncultured bacterium. RNAcentral describes it as "partial 16S ribosomal RNA". It matches the Rfam family "Bacterial small subunit ribosomal RNA", at positions 524 to 776 of the family's 1533-position model. The record is from RNAcentral.